Long non-coding RNA from Aegilops tauschii subsp. strangulata, 765 nucleotides. RefSeq lists it as uncharacterized. The record is from RefSeq and is a predicted model, not a curated record. Lineage: Eukaryota; Viridiplantae; Streptophyta; Magnoliopsida; Poales; Poaceae.
AAUCCCUGAAAUCCAGACCCCCAACUCUCUGAUCCCAGUUAUUUGCGCCCUUAAAACUGGUUUAGGAGAGGAUUCGCUGACGUGGCAGAGGAUAAGGCCGGGUUAGGUGAGAAACUAGGAUUAGGGACGCCACCUGUACCACCCCAUGCCUCUUUCUCUGUUUCUCCGUAUAUAUUGUCUUCACGGAGCGUAUUGGCUCCGGCGACUGGCGGCGGCCAUUGGCUUCUUUUCGCAGUGGCGGGAUUCGAAGGAGAGGCGUUUGCGGGUCAGCUCGGUCGCCCAUGGAUUACGAGCCGGCCCAAUCGGGAGCAACCCAUGGAUUACGAGCCGGCCAAGAUCUGCAGCUUGUGCGGGAGGAAGGCGGCAAGGUGGAUCUCAUGGAGUCCAGCAAACCUGGACGCACGUACUAUUCGUGCGUGUUUAACCAGCACGGAUUCAUCGAGGCUGCUGUUGUUGGGUGAUCUUCGGGACAAAGUGUAGAUGCUUGAGGCUGCUGUUGCUAGUCAGUCCAGUGAGAGAGAAGUUGAUGCGUUGAGAGAGGAAUUGGAGAAGAAGACUGAAGUUAUUUCUGAAAUUAGUGCUAGCUGUGACAGGAAAGAUGUGAUUCAGAUGUAUAAAUUUGCAGUUUAUGGUUUGAUAAUCUUUGUAGCUGGUUUAGUCGCAGGGUUCAUGCUAUCUUAGUUCCUGGAGAUGUAUAAUGUGAUGCUAUCUUAAUUGCAAUGUAUUGUAUCUGAAUCAUAUUUGAAUGGAUUUGAAAAACCCAAA